This 391-nucleotide unclassified non-coding RNA is filed under the name soil metagenome. RNAcentral describes it as "partial contains 5.8S ribosomal RNA, internal transcribed spacer 2, and large subunit ribosomal RNA". The stretch from base 1 to 122 matches the Rfam family "5.8S ribosomal RNA", at positions 35 to 154 of the family's 154-position model. The record is from RNAcentral.
GAUGAAGAACGUAGCGAAAUGCGAUACUUGGUGUGAAUUGCAGAAUCCCGUGAACCAUCGAGUCUUUGAACGCAAGUUGCGCCUGAAGCCAGUAGGCCGAGGGCACGCCUGCCUGGGCGUCACACGUCGUUGCCCCCCCAUCUACUCCUUCGGGAUUGCGGGGGGCGGAUGAUGGCCUCUCGUGCGCCUCGUCGCGCGGUUGGCCUAAAUGCCAAGUCCUCGGCGACGCACGCCACGACAAUCGGUGGUUGCGAAACCUCGGUUGCCUGUCGUGUGCGGUCGUCGGGCAUCGAGGGCUCGAAAAAAUUGCCGGGCUUCGGCUCGACUUUCAACGCGACCCCAGGUCAGGCGGGGUUACCCGCUGAAUUUAAGCAUAUCAAUAAGCGGAGGA